RNAcentral lists this ribosomal RNA (437 nucleotides) under uncultured bacterium. Its description in RNAcentral is "bacterial SSU rRNA". It matches the Rfam family "Bacterial small subunit ribosomal RNA", at positions 28 to 507 of the family's 1533-position model. The record is from RNAcentral.
GAUGAACGCUGGCGGUAUGCCUAACACAUGCAAGUCGUACGAGAGUUUUUAACUCUAGUGGCGGACGGGUGAGUAACACGUGAGAAUUUGCCUUUAGGAGGGGGACAACAAUCGGAAACGAAUGCUAAUACCCCAUAUGCUUUCGAGUGAAAUGGAUUUUAUCCGCCUAGAGAGAAGCUCGCGGCUGAUUAGCUUGUUGGUAAGGUAAGAGCUUACCAAGGCGACGAUCAGUAUCUGGUUUGAGAGGACGAUCAGACACACUGGAACUGAGACACGGUCCAGACUCCUGCGGGAGGCAGCAGUGGGGAAUCUUGCACAAUGGAGGAAACUCUGAUGCAGCGAUGCCGCGUGAGUGAAGAAGGCCUUUGGGUUGUAAAGCUCUUUUGUAGGGGAAGAUAAUGACUGUACCCUAAGAAUAAGGUCCGGCUAACUUCGUG